Long non-coding RNA from Drosophila willistoni, 392 nucleotides. RefSeq lists it as uncharacterized. The transcript is spliced from 3 exons. NCBI's taxonomy places the organism in Eukaryota, Metazoa, Arthropoda, Insecta, Diptera, Drosophilidae. The record is from RefSeq and is a predicted model, not a curated record.
GUUUUCAGUUUUUCGAGUUUUGGUUUUGUGGAUGGGACAAAUCGCUUAUGACCCAGUCAGCAUGAUGACAAGACAUAUGCCAUUUAACUUUUGAGUCCUAAAAUCCUUUUAAAACUGAUUUUACCCUUUUUAAUUUGGAAUUAUAUUGCACACUCUUAUGGAAUGCUACUUCAGUUUCAGAAUAUCUCAUUGCAAGCUUGACAACAAAUUGUUAACAAAGCACCACAAUCGACGACUGCAGGUCUGGGGGUCUGUGGGUAUAACCACAAAAAGGAAGACUUUGAAGUGGUCACGCAAUUCCGAUAAAUCCUCGUACUUAAAAAUGCCUUCAUUGCAAAAUGAUCAUUUUUCUUGAACCGAAAAUCUUGUUUUUUCUAGAUCCGUCCAUGAUG